AAGCGCUUGCAACCAGACUUGCGGGCGGUUGAUCAUCCGAGCUUUUGCCCGGUGCACUCGAUCGUUCUCAGGCCAGCAUCGGUUUUGGUGGGUGGAUAAAGGCCUUGGGAAUGUAGCUUCUUUCGGGGAGUGUUAUAGCCCAUUGUGUAAUACCCUGUGGUGGACUGAGGUUCGCGCAUCUGCAAGGAUGCUGGCGUAAUGGU
This 203-nucleotide ribosomal RNA is filed under the name Hyaloscyphaceae sp. Its description in RNAcentral is "partial large subunit ribosomal RNA". The record is from RNAcentral. Lineage: Eukaryota; Fungi; Ascomycota; Leotiomycetes; Helotiales; Hyaloscyphaceae.